GGGCCCGUAGCUCAGAAUGGUAGAGCACCCGGCUCUUAACCGGGGGGUCGGGGGUUCGAAGCCCCCCGGGCCCG
Molecule: transfer RNA, 74 nt
Filed under: Candidatus Korarchaeum cryptofilum OPF8
Lineage: Archaea; Thermoproteati; Thermoproteota; Candidatus Korarchaeia; Candidatus Korarchaeales; Candidatus Korarchaeaceae
Also listed under: 3 other names
Description: tRNA-Lys (CTT) (tRNA-Lys-CTT-1-1)
Rfam family: tRNA
About the family: Transfer RNA (tRNA) molecules are approximately 80 nucleotides in length.
Source: Rfam by way of RNAcentral